RNAcentral lists this ribosomal RNA (810 nucleotides) under uncultured bacterium. Its description in RNAcentral is "bacterial SSU rRNA". It matches the Rfam family "Bacterial small subunit ribosomal RNA", at positions 8 to 796 of the family's 1533-position model. The record is from RNAcentral.
AGAGUUUGAUCCUGGCUCAGAACGAACGCUGGCGGCGUGGAUAAGACAUGCAAGUCGGACGAGAUUUUUCGUUGUAGCAAUACGAUGGAAAGUCUAGUGGCGAACGGGUGCUUAACACGUGGGCAAUCUGUCUUAAAGUGGGGGAUAGCUCGGCGAAAGCCGAAUUAAUACCGCAUGUGAUUAGAGUGGACAUCCAUUCAAAAUUAAAGUCGGGGCAACCUGACGCUUUUUGAGGAGCCCGCGGCCUAUCAGCUUGUUGGUGAGGUAACGGCUCACCAAGGCUGUGACGGGUAGCUGGUCUGAGAGGACGACCAGCCACACUGGGACUGAGACACGGCCCAGACACCUACGGGUGGCAGCAGUCGAGAAUUUUUCUCAAUGGGGGAAACCCUGAAGGAGCGACGCCGCGUGGAGGAUGAAGGUCUUCGGAUUGUAAACUCCUGUCAUUGGGGAACAAGUCGCUUACGUUAACUGCGUGAGCGUUGAUAGUACCCGAAGAGGAAGAGACGGCUAACUCUGUGCCAGCAGCCGCGGUAAUACAGAGGUCUCAAGCGUUGUUCGGAUUCAUUGGGCGUAAAGGGUGCGUAGGCGGCGCGGUAAGUCGGGUGUGAAAUCUUGGAGCUUAACUCCGAAACUGCAUUCGAUACUGCCGUGCUUGAGGACUGGAGAGGAGACUGGAAUUUACGGUGUAGCGGUGAAAUGCGUAGAUAUCGUAAGGAAGACCAGUGGCGAAGGCGGGUCUCUGGACAGUUCCUGACGCUGAGGCACGAAGGUCAGGGGAGCAAACGGGAUUAGAUACCCUAGUAGUCC